This is a long non-coding RNA of Dinoponera quadriceps, 210 nucleotides long. RefSeq lists it as uncharacterized. The record is from RefSeq and is a predicted model, not a curated record. The transcript is spliced from 2 exons. NCBI's taxonomy places the organism in Eukaryota, Metazoa, Arthropoda, Insecta, Hymenoptera, Formicidae.
CGCACGAAGGACGUUUGCAUGCCCAGCAAGUACUUCGAAGACAAACUAUGGAUGACGAAGAGCUGCUAUACGGUCCAGGGAUAGCAGACUAAUAAAAUAAAACACGACGCUCCGUUUUGCUGGAAUGCUGUCAACCACCCAAGGGUCAUUUAAAAAAGACGCAAUUUUAGAUUAGCUGCAGAAAAAACAAUGGCCGCCACAAAAAAAAAA